This 254-nucleotide ribosomal RNA is filed under the name uncultured bacterium. RNAcentral's name for it is "partial 16S ribosomal RNA". It matches the Rfam family "Bacterial small subunit ribosomal RNA", at positions 524 to 776 of the family's 1533-position model. The record is from RNAcentral.
UACGAAGGGGGGCUAGCGUUGCUCGGAAUCACUGGGCGUAAAGCGCACGUAGGCGGAUCUUUAAGUCAGGGGUGAAAUCCCAAGGCUCAACCUUGGAACUGCCUUUGAUACUGGGGAUCUCGAGUCCGGAAGAGGUGAGUGGAAUUCCUAGUGUAGAGGUGAAAUUCGUAGAUAUUAGGAAGAACACCAGUGGCGAAGGCGGCUCACUGGUCCGGUACUGACGCUGAGGUGCGAAAGCGUGGGGAGCAAACAGG